GGGAACUAAAAAUGGGGAGAUAUUGGUGUUUGAUCUCAAUAGAGCUAACUUAUUGCAAGCCUUAAAAGACAUAUCCCAAGGUUAUGAACAUCUCCUGCGAAGCGAACUUACACCUGCAAAUCUAGUAUUUCUACCAUUGAAUGCCUUAAGACAAAUAGAGGGUCAGAGAGAGCUGGCAUUGGAAAA
Long non-coding RNA from Manduca sexta (tobacco hornworm), 186 nucleotides. RefSeq lists it as uncharacterized. The transcript has 2 exons. The record is from RefSeq and is a predicted model, not a curated record. Lineage: Eukaryota; Metazoa; Arthropoda; Insecta; Lepidoptera; Sphingidae.